RNAcentral lists this ribosomal RNA (254 nucleotides) under uncultured bacterium. RNAcentral's name for it is "partial 16S ribosomal RNA". It matches the Rfam family "Bacterial small subunit ribosomal RNA", at positions 524 to 776 of the family's 1533-position model. The record is from RNAcentral.
UACGGGGGGAGCAAGCGUUGUUCGGAUUUACUGGGCGUAAAGGGCGCGUAGGCGGCCACCGCAAGUCGACUGUGAAAUCUCCGGGCUUAACCCGGAACGGUCAGCCGAUACUGCGGGGCUAGAGUGCAGAAGGGGCAACUGGAAUUCUCGGUGUAGCGGUGAAGUGCGUAGAUAUCGAGAGGAACACCUGCGGCGAAGGCGGGUUGCUGGGCUGACACUGACGCUGAGGCGCGAAAGCUAGGGGAGCGAACGGG